RNAcentral lists this ribosomal RNA (119 nucleotides) under Sphenodon punctatus (tuatara). The record is from RNAcentral. Lineage: Eukaryota; Metazoa; Chordata; Lepidosauria; Sphenodontia; Sphenodontidae.
AUCUAUGGCCACACCAGCCUGAACACAACCAAUCUCAUCUGAUUUAGAAAGUUAAGCAGGGUCGGGCCUGGUUAGUACUUGGAUGGGGGACCACUUGGGAAUAUGGUUUGCUGUAGGCU